UCACACAUACACACACACACAAACACUUCUGUGUCUCUAUACUGCACAGUCUAUCCCCUACUCGUGUUUGCUUUUGUUUUGUUUUAGGCCUCUGGUAUAUUGUGAAGAGAUGAGCAAGAAUUAAUGCUAGAAAGAGAAUAGAAUCAGAGAGAUUCUUUCAACGCAGAGAACCCCAAAACAGGAAACAGAACUAGCACGCAACCAUUCCCUCGCCAGAAAUAUGUUGUUUGCUUCAAGA
This 238-nucleotide long non-coding RNA is filed under the name Olea europaea (common olive). Its description in RNAcentral is "long non-coding RNA (OEUR_LNC003645)". Lineage: Eukaryota; Viridiplantae; Streptophyta; Magnoliopsida; Lamiales; Oleaceae. The record is from RNAcentral.